GAAUAAGGUGUCACUUGUGUCAUCCCAUGGCGAUCAGGAGAGGCCUACAUGGAUUUUCCCAACAAGGUGGUACCUUGAUUAGCCCCUGUCAACAGCUUCUUACUGGUGAAUGGCUUCUUACAUCCGCUUGGGACUUCACAAACAGUGGCAUUUUUUUCUCAUUGGAGCCAAAUGUUUCUCCAGAAAGAAAGUUUGUCAGCCCCCGGUUAAGGACUGCAUUUCUACUGUGA
RNAcentral lists this long non-coding RNA (230 nucleotides) under Fukomys damarensis (Damara mole-rat). RNAcentral describes it as "lncRNA (ENSFDAG00000031010.1)". The record is from RNAcentral. Lineage: Eukaryota; Metazoa; Chordata; Mammalia; Rodentia; Bathyergidae.